This is a long non-coding RNA of Corapipo altera (White-ruffed manakin), 9110 nucleotides long. RefSeq lists it as uncharacterized. The transcript has 3 exons. Lineage: Eukaryota; Metazoa; Chordata; Aves; Passeriformes; Pipridae. The record is from RefSeq and is a predicted model, not a curated record.
UUUCCCCCCCACCUCUAGCUGCCAGACAGAUGAGCACUUCAUCAUCAGACUUGUAAGGACAGCUGAUUCUCACCCUUCUGCAAGCAAAAUCCUCUUAAUCACAGUGAGGUUAAGUAGAUUUUCUGGGAAGUUCUCAACACAACAGUCCCCACAGUGGAAAUCUGUGCUGAACAAUCACUCACAUAAAAGCACCUUUCUCCACGAGCACUGUACAAACUAGGACCUCUGUGUUCCAGAAGAGUGGGAAAUCCUGAUGAAUAGCAAGAUCCGCUCUGGAUUCAGAUACUUCUGAAGAGAGACAGUUUUACAGGGCAACCAAAAGUAUUCCAGCUUUCGGCCACGGGUCAAGGGUCCCCUGGAUUUUGUACAGUGGAAUGCAGGAUCUAUUUAGAUAUAUCUUAGGAUGCCUGUUGAGUAAAAAUGACCUUUACUAGUUAGACAUUGUGCCUCUGAGUGUACAAGUUGAAUGGUUGCAUGUGCAGUGAGUCAGCACUUAAUUCUUCGGCUCCCUGUCGGUUUUUAAGUUUCUGAACUGAUCAAAUAAAGACUGAACAUACAGUUACUCACAAUAUUUUCUCUCUUCUUCUUCCCCCCACAUUAAGACCAAGCAGCAGAUUCGGAGACCAGUGAGAUUAAAGAACAAGCAAGGAAACAAAAAAACUUCCAUGAUUUUAGGCAAUUUGGACAUGGCCACUGAAGAGACUAACAGGAAAAAUAUCUGAUCAUGUAAACAUAUUAUCAGAACUUCUCCUAGGAGCAGGAAUUUUGCUUAGAUAGGCUAAAAACUUCUCUAGAUCCAUAUUCUGCCAAAAGCAUCUUGUUACAUCUCAAAACUCAACUGAACAUUAGAGUUCAGUUGUACUACCCAAACAGCUGUAAGUUUUAUGAGCAAUAUUAGGAUUCACACUGGGAAAAUCACUAGAAAAACAAUUAUAUACAGAAGCAAAUGGUUAAAGACUAACUAAAAAUUGGAAGACCUAUUAAACACAUCCUGUUUGAGUUUAAGGUCAAAUGCAUGUCACCAAGGAACUCCUUUAAAAGACAAUGCAUCCAACAAGCUGCAAAAUUUAAAUCCUCAAUUGCAAGAAUUUUACCUGAAAAUCAGAGACGAAAGUGAAUAAACAGCUCAGCUGUCUCAGCUUCUCAGCUCUUCCAUCAAAUGUAUACCUUGCCUUUCAGCCUGAAAAAUCUUUCUUUACAGCCACAUGUGUUGCAGAGAACUUUACUCCCAAUGUUAUAAUUUCAAGGCAAUAAGUAGAUGCUAAAUAAUCUCUGCAUUGAGAGACUGCUGGUCACAGCUCAAUUAAUUGAGUCACUGACCUGAGCAGUGCCUUAAUCAAUGUUUUAAUCAAUUUUUUAUGAACAAAUUCAAAACUACUAAACACUUCUUUCACUGGUCCAACAAGAUAAAAAUGUGCUAACUCGGUGUAGAAGCCCAGAAGACAAGGGCAUUCUAAUUGAAAUGAGUUGUUUCCCCUCUUCAUUAAAAACUCCUAAUUUAAAAAGAGCCUCAUGUUCACCUGCAUCUAAACCCAUGUAAAGUGAAUUACACAGAUGAAAAACUGAGCAUUCAAGCCAGAGAAAGAAACAAACACCCCUGAAGGCUUCAGAGGCAUUUUUAACUGAGUUGUAACACAGGAAUCCAAACACCAUCUUACUGUGUCUGCUUUUGCUUUGCCCUAAAUAAUAACACACAGCUGUAUCUACACUGCUGAAUAUUUAGAUAAAAUGUAUCUGAAACCUGUGUAAGGUAAGCAACGCAUUUUUGCUGUUGUAACAUUAACUUUUGGCUUUUUUGACCUGUGUGUUCAAAAUGUUCCUUGCCUUAACACCCCCUUCAUUUUCUUUGCCCUAAAUAGUUGCACACACAGUGUGCAGACCUGUUUCAUGUUACCAAUGCUAGAAUUCCAAGCUGCACUUUGAUCAUGGCCCAAUGAGUGGUAAUUUUCUAUGUUGAACAUAUCAGUCUGAAAAAAACAAGAAGGGAAAAAAAAAAAGAACAAACUGUUCCCAGUCUCUGAAAUUUAAAAACAAAAACUCCACAGUUCCCAAAGUUAUCUGCUUCUUAUCAAGAUCCGUGUUUGGCACCAGAUGCAUUUGAUUCAUUCAUCAUUGUCAGUGCACUUACACACUAAUUAUUUCAAAUUGUUUCCUUGGGCAGAGGUCUAGGACAAAUGCAAGCAAGCCAAAAAUAGCAGUUAUGAAUAAUUAUGCAUAAUUUACCUCAAGGCCUGGGCCAGGCUAUCAUUAAAACGUCUUCUUUCCACCUGUGAUCCCAGCUAAUUGUGGACUUUAAAUUAGUUCAAGAUUACUUUUUCUUUUUUUUUAAUACGAUGCCAACAUUUAACCUUCCCAUUAGAAGUUUUCUGAUGUUUUAAAAAUUUCCAGUGAAAUGUCAACAAGGUUCCUUCUUUUUUAACCAUGCCCUUGUAUUUCCCAGCCUGACAACAAAGUUUGCUAACAGGAAAAACUUCAGAGACAAGGUCAGCACAUGCAGCCUCACGUUAAGGCUGCCAAACAAGGUUCUUAGAAAAGCACAGUUCCCCUCUCUCAACCUCAAAGUAAGUUCUGAUGCUCCAAAACUAAAGCUGGUUUAGUCCCUUAAACUUUCUGACUUUUAAAGUUCUGACUCCUUCUGGAGACAAGAAGAGAACUUUCCCAACAACAACAAAACAAAAAUUUAUAAAACACUUGCUCCUCCAAACUCAGAAGUACCUGUUUAAUUCUACAGACAGCAAACUCAUUAAUUCCAGUGGGAUCCAAAGGGGUCAGUGAUGAAGCUGUAGAUGAUUUUGCAGAACUGGAGCCUUAUUCCAUUAAUUGUAAUGAAUGUACCUCCUAUGUUGUUGUGCUGCUUUAACUCCUUAAAUUACAGCUUUGAAAUAAAAACUGAUGAAAAAAAAAGAAAACCCACCCUGAAGACUUCCAGGAGAAGAAACAUAUACCUCAAAAAAAAGCAAGUGUAUGUACCACUGAUAAUUCCUAAAUACUCUCCAGUUUGGGAACAAGCUUCACUUUUGAGACAACAGAAAGUAUGUAACAGUAGCCAGAGCUAUUAAUGCACAAAUUAUAAGUAUUGCUUACUCAGAAAAAAACCAUCUACGAAUUCCUCUAUUCAGUCUCUCAACAUCAGACCUCAUAGGGACAAAAAAUACUUCACUGUUCAGUUAACAGUGCAAGUCAUGCAGGAACCAGACCAGCUAAGUUGUGAAGCCUUGGGAGCCAAGGGUAUGUUUAUGUACUUUCCUUAUUCAGGAUAACAAAAAAUAUCAAAGCAGAUAUUUUAAAAAAAAAGUUAGACUCAGUAACAAAACAAACAAAAUGUAAGACAUUAUUAAAAAGAAAACAUACACACAGGAAAAGAUGAAUUGAAGCUGUCUUCUGGAUAGUUACUUAAAGCAUUAAUCACAAAAUAGCUCUUCUACUAAAUUCAGAUAUUCCUAAAAUAUCAAUGAAGUUUACAUGGUAUGACCAGUUCUAAAGCUGACACACAAUUCUUCAUCAUCUACAGAUUUUAGACAGAAGACAACGGAAACUAACGUGUUCUAAGUUGGCCCUUACUAAGUUUCACAAACACAAUAAGAAAAAACCCCAAAGAUUGCAGUGCAAUUCCGUUACAAAUAGAAAAAAACAACGAAAAUGAAUUCAUUAAACACUUGCUCCUCCAAAUUCAGAAGUAUCUGUUUAAUUCCACACACAGCAUGCUCAUUAAUUGCAGUGGGAUCCAAAGGGGUGAGUGAUGAAGGUGCAGAUCAUCUCACAGAACUAUGAGUGCUUUGGCAUCCCCACCUGACUUACAGAGAGAGCUGCACAGCCUGUCUUUGCACCAUAUUAUUUUGUGUUAGGGCAUCUCCUGAUGAACUGCAUGGGAUAAACUACCUGUAUCUGUGCCUUCGGACAAAGUCAAAUGAAAAAAGGUGGGAAUGCUGGAGAAUGGAUACAGAAAAGGGAAGAAUGCAAAUUCAUUUCCUCUAUAAGGUAUCCUCGUGGCUGCCAUGUCAUUCAGGCGUCUUGUGAUUGUAGUUGAUCCAGCUGGUUUAACACUGCAGGUCUAAAGUGAUUAUUAUCAAAAUAUUUCAUAUGUUCAGGGACUUUCAUUUGCAUGUCUCGCCAAUGUGCUCAGAUCAUGGAACACCUGCAAUUUUACACAACAAAUUCCCUGUUGUGGAGAGACCUGGCAGUCAUGUGUCAUCUCAGUUCUGUGUCAAACUUUGUUGUGGCUGGUUUACUAUUACGGAUCUUAUACUGCUAAAUUUAUUUACCAAUCUACUUGUGUUUGCUAUAAGGAGCAAGGAAACGCUUUACAACUUGGAGAAUACAUCUCUCUAGAAUAGGUAUCUCCAGGUCCUUCAAGAUGGAAUUAAUACAACCAUGGGAGACUAAGUUUUGGAAAUCAAAUGACCUUUUCAACUUUUAUUUUCCACAAGGAGAAAACAAAGGCAUUAAACUCAUCUCUCAUCUCUUUUCUAUCCAUGACACACACCUUCAAUGUGAGGUAUAGACUGCUAAACGCUCUUCAAAGCAGAAGGAUUUUUAUUAUUAACAUCUUGUCAUAAACAAAGUUUUCCCAAUUGCUAAAACUAAUAGGUAGUAUAAACACCAGUGAUCACGGUUCUUCUUUCCUGACACCACAUAUGAAAUUCUAAAUUGAUAUAUGCAAACAGAAAUUAGUGUCUCAGCUGUAUAUGCAACAGAAGAAUUAAUAUCAGUCUUUAAAAAUCAUGAAAUGGAAUUUAGAAACAUCUGCAUGCUAAUCACUGAAACAAUAAAAAAAAAUGGAAGGUGUUUAGAACAAAACAACUUUGUUUUCUAUUUGUCACAUUGUGUUUUUUAAAGUGGCAAAUGAAAAGAUACAAUUUCCAUAAAAUGGAAGUAUUACAAGUUCAGUUAGACAGCAACCAGUUUACAUUGAAAUCAGUUGUUUAAAUCUUGUACUGGUUUAAUUUGCUUUUUUAUGGAGAAUCACAUUUUUUAAAUUGCAGGGUUAAGACUAUAGUUAUUACUUUAAAUAUUUAUGAAAAAGACUAAUGAAAUUUCCUGUUGUUCUCUAAUUCAAAUAUGCUGGAGUCACAGACAAUCAAGUUGUCAAGGCCCAAACUUAGAAGGGUUCUUAUGUACUCAGAACAAGGAGGGUUUCCUUAGAUUAUAUCAAAAUAUGAAACAGAUAUUUUCCCUUCAAGUCAUAAACAGUGCCUGGCAUUCCUGCUUACUAUAUAAAUCAAAUAUUAACCAAAUCAAAUAUAAAUCCCUUUUUUACUAUCUCCAUAUUUCUAAUUUACCACAGCUCAGUGUAAUUUCAGCUUUGUGUACAAAUUGAAUCCAAGCAAUUAUUAAAUAAUUAAUAAAAUAUUAUUUUAAAAAAAGAACUAUGGGGUUUUUUAAGCGCUUUAUAUGAUUCACUGCAUUCAUUCAAGCAGUCCAUUUGCAACCACUGUUAAUUCACAUUCAUAUUCUCAUAGUCAUUUGAUUUUUUCUUCAUUGUGGAUCAUAACUUAUUAUGGAUAAAAACUUUCUAGAUUACUUCAAAUCAUAACUAUCAGUUCAAAACCAGGGGACUGAUUAGCUACUUUGUUUUUUACUAUCAGAAACACAAAGGGUUCAACACUGACAAAGAAACCAAAGAAAAAAUGGAAAUUGGGUAGACUGAUACAAGAAAUUGGAGUUAGAGAGCUACAUAUUUUCACUAAACAAAGCAAAACUAAAAUUAUCAUAUGACAGCCAUUUAAAGGAAUACAAAAGGACUUACUUCAUGUGAUUCACCAGGGUAAAAUUCACAAAGCACUCAUUAAAAAAAAAUCCCAUUAAGAAACAAGAGACUGAUUAUCAGCAAAUAAUUCAUAAGAGAUACAAAGCUGGUCAAGAAAAGAUCUCCCAAAGGAUUCCCAUUAGCUCGAGUUUUAAAAUUAGGCUGUACAACAUAUAAGAACAUGUACUUCAGGGAUUCAACCUGUUCAUCCAGGGGAUAGAAAAGUGGCUUACUUUCCCAUUUUAUUUUGCUAUUUUGUGUGGAAUCUGGUUACAAGGUCUGAAAUGAGGCAGGUACUGAAAAGAAAGCCAAGGAGGAAGAUGACCUGCAUUCCUUGAAAGAACAGAGAGUGGCUUAAGUUGAAACAAAUAGCUUUUUCCAGCAUACUUACAUAUUGGUUGCUAAACCGAACAAGCAAAAACAGCACAAUCUUUUUUCUUGUAGCUACAUUCCACAAAUUCCCUAUGAAAAAGCUAAAAAACAACCAAAUGCCAUGAAGUGCACCUUCUGAUCACAGCUUUAGAAAUCUAUUGGCUUCUUUCCAAAAUAACCUCAGUAAGAUUUAAAUAGCUGAGGUAAACUAUUGAAUAUGUAGAUACUAAUAAGAUUUCCACUAAUUUCACACAUUUUGCUGCAGUAGCUCUAUGAUUAAUAAGAUGGAACUAGUAGAGAUCAGUCCUUCAGAGAAUGUAUUUGACUCUUGUUUCCAUUCUCUGCUCCUGGUGUGGUGGUCUACAGUGUUGGAGUAUCCAUUUAUGGCCUCGGUUCUUCUAACUACAGGUUUUUUUAUAUAUUUUAUGUGUUGGGUAACAGGAGAGAGAUGCAAAAAUAAGUUGAAGACAUAUUCUAUGCUGUUGCUUUCUACAGCAGUGUUGAAAUACAACUUUGCUGCUUGAAGCAUCAGCCACACACUCCCAUUUUUAGGAACAGGGAGGUGAAAUACCUUGGUGGGGAUCCAAGAACACAAAAUGUUCUAACACACACCACUUUAGCAGCACCAUGGUAAGGCACAGUGUUUCCUUCUCUUUAUUUACCAACCACAUUCCUCAUCACUAUAAAGCUAUUGGGGUGGAGGGGUAAGGAAUGAGCUUUUGUACUGGUCUCUGAAAGAUUUCCUCCUGUUUCUGAUCCACCUGUUCCUUUUCAUCCAGAGCCAUUUCUUAUAGUCCUCACAGCACUCGUUUUUAGUACGGGAGUUACCUACAAAUAUUUCAUCCUUGUUUUAUUACAUCUAGAGAUUGUUUAGAAACUAAUGAAAUCUUACCAUAAAACAAAUUAGUAUAAUAAACUAUACUGCAAACUCCACUGUAAUGUCACAGUCAUCUUAAAUAAAUUUCUGUCAGUAAAUUUCAUCAAAAUGAACAUAUUUGUUUUUCCAGCUGACACCAAUGUUGUUGAAUUAUUUUUUCAUCAUGAUCCCUCUACUUUUUUCUCCAGAAAAUGCUGCUCUCAAGAACUUUACUUCAUGUCUCUUCCACAUUACAUCCUCAAAUUAUUUGUCACAAAACAUCUGCUUUGAGUAAAUAAGUAUUUACAAAGGAAAAAAAAAGAUAAAAUCCUAUUCAUUGCAUCUGCACAAGGAGGCUAAAAACCACAGGACAAUGAAGUAUCAGGUAUCUAUGACAAAGUGGAACAAAUUCAGAGAUACUGUGAACUGUGGUGUCGAUUACACAUAGAGAAACACAUAAUUCAGGGUGAAAAAGACUGGCUGGUGCUAAAAGACAAAACGGCUGAUUAUCCCCCCCUGCCCGGCUGUUUUAUUUCAUAAUAGGAGAACAGACUGAAAUUGACUUUUCAGGAACGCCAGGAAAAAUGUAUAUUGCACUGCUGCCUCUAUUAACCAUGGCCCAGACACAAAGGGAUCCACAGGCUGCCUUAGGAGAGGACUAAGGGAGUUCUCUCGGCCUUCCUGGCCACUGUGCAGGAAGCACAGAGAGCAGGAGAACACUGGGGAACGGGACAAAGGCCCAUCUAUCACUCAAAUGCAAAAUUUGUCAGUGUUUGACCUUCAACUGUUUGGAGGUUUUUAUCUGCAAGCUAAUUUUCCAUUUUCAUUUUUCCACAUCCAUGCUGUAGUUCCUGAGUACAGUAAAUCUCCCCCUUUUUUUUGAUAUAUAAUCUCUUUUAAUAUCCUGUGCUCUCUUAUCACACUACAGUCCUACCCUGUAAUAUAUUGUCCAUAAAUUUUUCAAAUGAUAUGAACUUUAACAGCUAUGGAUGUGAUUGAAAUACAACAGUAACUAUUUUGUUCCUACAAAAAUAUUCUAUGGAGGCUCAUGUUUGGCCUUUACGCUGAAGUUACAUCUGAGUCAUGAAAAUUUAAGAAUGGAAGAAAAUUGAGUCUCAAACUCAAAGCCAUAAAAGGCACAACACCAAUGAUGAUGCUUUUUCUGAUUUUCUCUGAUUUAUGAUAUACAUUUAUUUGUCCAUGAAAGGAGAUGCACAAUCACUCUAAGUCAAAUACACGUAAGUAAAAUGCUAAAACUCAAAAAUGUGAUGUCUCAUUCUUACAGCUGAUAAAUGUUAUCAGCCAUAAACAUAUCAGGGGCAAGGCCUAUAGAUCAUAUACUACAAACAGAAAUUAAAAUUAAAUAUGGUUUUGUUGAGGAAUCCAAAGUCUUAUAUUUAAAAAUAUUUAAAAAGGGCCAACAGUCCUCAAUCCUCCAUGAUAAAAUGCUUUCUAAAUGAUAAAAUUCUUUCUAAAAUGAUCCCACUCACCUGCUGAAAUGUUUCAUUUUUGCUGCUUUUUUCAGCUUUUUCCUCAGACAAUUCCACCAAACUCAGACACUGAAACUCUGUCUUGAGUCAAAUCCAGCUACACUUCCACCUACUAAAGAAAUGUGAUGUCUUUUGAAAAUUGCAACUUAUUUUUCAAGUGCCAUAGUAUUCCACUCUAUGCAAAUUCCACUCUGUGCAAUGCAGACUAAUGGUCACAGUUUGUCACAAAAAUUCAAAUACUUGGAUAUUGCUGCAAGCCACACUUUUGACAGGUCUUUGGAGGGGCCUAAUGAUAGAGUUUUCACAAAACUUUUCUGCAACUGUAGCUCCGAUACCCUAUUAAACUGAGUUAAUGAUUCCAGAGAAGCACUCCUUGAACAGUGGUUUACUAGUUAAGCAACAAAAUUUCCUUCCUGAAGCUCUUUACUGGCACCCCAUUUCCUAUUUACAAAGACCACCACAGUAAAACACUAUCUUGCAGUUUAGAAUGUGUCACAUUAAUAGGAGAUUAAAGAACUUCUGCUCAAAAAUACCUUACAGAAAACCUGAAAAUCAAGUCCAGGGAGCAAAGCACCAACAGUCACACACAUUAUUGGUCUCCAAAUAUGAAGACUCUUUAUAUUUUUGAGACAUGCUUAAUGAUAUG